Molecule: ribosomal RNA, 1487 nt
Filed under: uncultured Sphingobacteriaceae bacterium
Lineage: Bacteria; Pseudomonadati; Bacteroidota; Sphingobacteriia; Sphingobacteriales; Sphingobacteriaceae
Description: bacterial SSU rRNA
Rfam family: Bacterial small subunit ribosomal RNA
Source: RNAcentral
AGAGUUUGAUCAUGGCUCAGGAUGAACGCUAGCGGCAGGCCUAAUACAUGCAAGUCGAACGAUACCAGAGAGCUUGCUUUCUGGGAAAGUGGCGCACGGGUGCGUAACGCGUAUGCAACCUACCUUAAUCAGGGGGAUAGCCUCUCGAAAGAGAGAUUAACACCGCAUAACAUCAUUUUACGGCAUCGUAGGAUGAUCAAAUAUUUAUAGGAUUAAGAUGGGCAUGCGUGACAUUAGUUUGUUGGUGAGGUAAUGGCUCACCAAGACUACGAUGUCUAGGGGAUCUGAGAGGAUGACCCCCCACACUGGUACUGAGACACGGACCAGACUCCUACGGGAGGCAGCAGUAAGGAAUAUUGGUCAAUGGGGGCAACCCUGAACCAGCCAUGCCGCGUGCAGGAAGACGGCCCUACGGGUUGUAAACUGCUUUUAUACGGGAAUAAACCUCGCUACGUGUAGUGAGCUGAAUGUACUGUAAGAAUAAGGAUCGGCUAACUCCGUGCCAGCAGCCGCGGUAAUACGGAGGAUCCAAGCGUUAUCCGGAUUUAUUGGGUUUAAAGGGUGCGUAGGCGGCCUAUUAAGUCAGGGGUGAAAGACGGUGGCUCAACCAUCGCAGUGCCCUUGAUACUGAUGGGCUUGAUUACACUUGAGGUAGGCGGAAUGUGACAAGUAGCGGUGAAAUGCAUAGAUAUGUCACAGAACACCAAUUGCGAAGGCAGCUUACUAAGGUGUUAAUGACGCUGAGGCACGAAAGCGUGGGGAUCAAACAGGAUUAGAUACCCUGGUAGUCCACGCCCUAAACGAUGAAUACUCGAUGUUAGCGAUAUACAGUUAGCGUCAAAGCGAAAGCGUUAAGUAUUCCACCUGGGGAGUACGCCCGCAAGGGUGAAACUCAAAGGAAUUGACGGGGGCCCGCACAAGCGGUGGAGCAUGUGGUUUAAUUCGAUGAUACGCGAGAAACCUUACCUGGGCUUAAAUGUCAGGUGACCGCUGCCGAAAGGUGGCUUCCCUUCGGGGCAACUGGCAAGGUGCUGCAUGGCUGUCGUCAGCUCGUGCCGUGAGGUGUUGGGUUAAGUCCCGCAACGAGCGCAACCCCUAUCUUUAGUUGCCAUCAGGUCAAGCUGGGGACUCUAGAGAAACUGCCUACGCAAGUAGUGAGGAAGGCGGGGACGACGUCAAGUCAUCAUGGCCCUUACGCCCAGGGCUACACACGUGCUACAAUGGAUGGUACAAUGAGACGCCACUUGGUAACAAGGCGCAAACCUCAAAAAGCCAUUCUCAGUUCGGAUUGAGGUCUGCAACUCGACCUCAUGAAGCUGGAUUCGCUAGUAAUCGAAUAUCAGCAUUGAUUCGGUGAAUACGUUCCCGGGCCUUGUACACACCGCCCGUCAAGCCAUGGAAGCUGGGAGAACCUGAAGUCGAUAACCGCAAGGAGUCGCCUAGGGUUAUACUAGUAACUGGGGCUAAGUCGUAACAAGGUAGCCGUA